CUAUAUUAGAGUUCGGUUUGUUGGAGAAUACACGUGCAAGGAGUUUACAGGAUGGAUAGAAUCUGCUUUGCAAUCAGCUGUUAGGAACCUUAUUAAUCUUUGGCCUAAGGUUUACGAGACAACAUUUAAAGAAGCUGAGGAUCGUUACUUCCAGGAUGGAAAAUAUAGUUGUAGAUGAUGAUGGUUAUAUUUAUCAUGAUGAUAAUGAUGAAAUAAAUACUUCAAAUCGAA
Molecule: long non-coding RNA, 231 nt
Organism: Eurytemora carolleeae
Lineage: Eukaryota; Metazoa; Arthropoda; Copepoda; Calanoida; Temoridae
Exons: 3
Source: RefSeq, a predicted model, not a curated record